ACUUUCGUCAAAUAACAAGUCGUUUACCGCCAGAACUGUGAAUGAUUAGGUGGCGACACGUUGUCAUCAACACUAAUCGAAAAAGUUCCUCAUUCUUUUCGCAACGCACACGCACUAAAAGGCAUUGUUCUGGGCUGGUGAACUCCUUGAUACUUAUCCACUACAAGAUUGGAUCAGCUUGCAUGUUGACUUUGAAAAGGCACAUUGAUAUAAAAG
Long non-coding RNA from Trichomycterus rosablanca, 216 nucleotides. RefSeq lists it as uncharacterized. The record is from RefSeq and is a predicted model, not a curated record. NCBI's taxonomy places the organism in Eukaryota, Metazoa, Chordata, Actinopteri, Siluriformes, Trichomycteridae. The transcript is spliced from 3 exons.